GACAAGAUGGACAUAUUUAGGAUGUGAGAGGAAACCAGAGUAUCCUGUUUUGGCCCUUCUCACAAGUUUAGGAUGCUCCAAGAAAGUACUCUUUCACAGAUAGAAUUACUGCACUGGAAGCUGAAAGAUCAUCUACUGCUACUGCAUUUUGUUGGCACCUGAUCUUGGACUGUCAUUGCUAUUUGAAAAACAUGGCAGAUCAUUAUUUUCAUCAGUUAUAACAAAAUCAAACACUUUCAAAAUAACGUGGAAGUCUAGCUGGUGGUAUCGCCAUAAGAGGAACAUCUGGAGAAAUUUCUGAAACGCUCGUUUACUGCUAUCGUUACUGCAUGGUCGGGAAUCUUUCAGAGGGUAGGCCUCAAAAUCCCCGGCCUUGCCUGCUUUUGGUGACCGAGAAGGAGGUUGAAUCGUUCGGGCAGAGAUGGCGCUCAGUACCCGGUGUCGGAGAGCUGAUCAGAGCUCGAAGUUUUUGGAUGACUCCGAGUCGGAUUGUGGUUGGCAUGGCAGGGAGAGUUUUUCUUCCCUCUCCCGACUGCGUGAGAUGAGGGACAUUAGAGAGACUUUGAACUUUACUGUGGCUCAUGGACUUCUUUAUCAAGUUAUGGUAUUGUUGCACUGUUGUAACUAUAUGUUAUAAUUAUGUGGUUUUGUCAGCUUUUUCAGUCUUGGUCUGUCCUGUGUUUUGUGAUUUCACACCGGAGGAAAUAUUGUAUCAUUUCUUAACGCAUGCGUUACUAAAUGGCAAUAAAAGAGGACUACGUGUCCU
This is a long non-coding RNA of Mobula hypostoma (lesser devil ray), 766 nucleotides long. RefSeq lists it as uncharacterized. The transcript is spliced from 3 exons. Lineage: Eukaryota; Metazoa; Chordata; Chondrichthyes; Myliobatiformes; Myliobatidae. The record is from RefSeq and is a predicted model, not a curated record.